AAACCAACUGAGAUUACCUUAGUAACGGCGAGUGAAGCGGUAAAAGCUCAAAUUUGAAAUCUGGUACUUUCAGUGCCCGAGUUGUAAUUUGUAGAAUUUGUCUUUGAUUAGGUCCUUGUCUAUGUUCCUUGGAACAGGACGUCAUAGAGGGUGAGAAUCCCGUUUGGCGAGGAUACCUUUUCUUUGUAAGACUUUUUCGAAGAGUCGAGUUGUUUGGGAAUGCAGCUCAAAGUGGGUGGUAAAUUCCAUCUAAAGCUAAAUAUUGGCGAGAGACCGAUAGCGAACAAGUACAGUGAUGGAAAGAUGAAAAGAACUUUGAAAAGAGAGUGAAAAAGUACGUGAAAUUGUUGAAAGGGAAGGGCAUUUGAUCAGACAUGGUGUUUUUUGCAUGCACUCGCCUCUCGUGGGCUUGGGCCUCUCAAAAAUUUCACUGGGCCAACAUCAAUUCUGGCAGCAGGAUAAAUCAUUAAGAAUGUAGCUACUUCGGUAGUGUUAUAGCUUUUUGGAAUACUGUUAGCCGGGAUUG
RNAcentral lists this ribosomal RNA (526 nucleotides) under uncultured Hanseniaspora. Its description in RNAcentral is "eukaryotic LSU rRNA". It matches the Rfam family "Eukaryotic large subunit ribosomal RNA", at positions 62 to 589 of the family's 3401-position model. Lineage: Eukaryota; Fungi; Ascomycota; Saccharomycetes; Saccharomycodales; Saccharomycodaceae. The record is from RNAcentral.